UGCAAGUCGAACGAAGCGAUUUAACGGAAGUUUUCGGAUGGAAGUUGAAUUGACUGAGUGGCGGACGGGUGAGUAACGCGUGGGUAACCUGCCUUGUACUGGGGGACAACAGUUAGAAAUGACUGCUAAUACCGCAUAAGCGCACAGUAUCGCAUGAUACAGUGUGAAAAACUCCGGUGGUACAAGAUGGACCCGCGUCUGAUUAGCUAGUUGGUAAGGUAACGGCUUACCAAGGCGACGAUCAGUAGCCGACCUGAGAGGGUGACCGGCCACAUUGGGACUGAGACACGGCCCAAACUCCUACGGGAGGCAGCAGUGGGGAAUAUUGCACAAUGGGCGAAAGCCUGAUGCAGCGACGCCGCGUGAGUGAAGAAGUAUUUCGGUAUGUAAAGCUCUAUCAGCAGGGAAGAAAAUGACGGUACCUGACUAAGAAGCCCCGGCUAACUACGUGCCAGCAGCCGCGGUAAUACGUAGGGGGCAAGCGUUAUCCGGAUUUACUGGGUGUAGAGGGAGCGUAGACGGUAAAGCAAGUCUGAAGUGAAAGCCCGCGGCUCAACUGCGGGACUGCUUUGGAAACUGUUUAACUGGAGUGUCGGAGAGGUAAGUGGAAUUCCUAGUGUAGCGGUGAAAUGCGUAGAUAUUAGGAGGAACACCAGUGGCGAAGGCGACUUACUGGACGAUAACUG
RNAcentral lists this ribosomal RNA (686 nucleotides) under uncultured Lachnospiraceae bacterium. RNAcentral describes it as "bacterial SSU rRNA". It matches the Rfam family "Bacterial small subunit ribosomal RNA", at positions 56 to 742 of the family's 1533-position model. Lineage: Bacteria; Bacillati; Bacillota; Clostridia; Lachnospirales; Lachnospiraceae. The record is from RNAcentral.